RNAcentral lists this long non-coding RNA (3849 nucleotides) under Coffea arabica (coffee). RNAcentral's name for it is "long non-coding RNA (CARA_LNC005959)". The record is from RNAcentral. Lineage: Eukaryota; Viridiplantae; Streptophyta; Magnoliopsida; Gentianales; Rubiaceae.
UCAUACCUAAAGCCACAUUAACUUCAGAGAUAGCAAUGAUAAAAUCGCCAGUCGAUGCCCUUAAACGUCCUACGUGCUACUUACCAAAGUACAAAGUCAUAACAAACCGGAUAGAUAAAAUGCAUAAAUCCAUAAUACAACUUACAAGCCAAGUAAUCGAAUUAGGGUUUACACGUUUUCCAGCUUCAAGUGGCAAUCCAAAAAGUAAAAUACAUUAUCCCAAAUAACACAUUACAACCCACAGAAUAAGUUAUAGUAUUCAAAUGCAGUCCAAAAGAAAAAAAAAACAUAAGUAAGCAUCCAGCUUUCAGUUUCCAGAACCUGUUAAGGAAAACAAUAAACGUGGGGUGAGCUAAAGCUCAGUGGUGCCCCAAAACAUGCAAUCACAUAAUUUCAAACAGCGAUUAAUAACUGAACAACUUUAAACAGUUAGGAAAGCAUAUAACAGCACAAGGUAGGAUACGUGGGCUCUCAGGAGCCAUUUUCCACGCUUGAUCAGAUACCAUCGUAGUUGACCCUCCGUCAACUUUCACUACUUGUAGUCCAUGUAGAUCCACUUAUUUUAAUCCUAACCCGUCACCGUUCAUACCUCUGCUUCGGGCCCGAACUUCGCCUACCGACGCAGUAUACUCGAGAUAUACCCGUAUAAAAUUAGUCGAAAGAUUCACCCAAUGACGUUAUUGCAGUUAGAUUCACGCGUCGAGGGAUUUACCUAACGACGUACUGCAGUUAGAUUCACGCGUCGAGGGAUUCACCUAACGACGUAAUUGUAGUUUGAUUCACGCGUCGAGGGAUUCACCCAACGACGUAACUACAUUUAGAUUCACGGAUUUAUUAGAAAAUGUUUCACACAAGUCACCACUCGAACGGUUAGUGUGAUAAAGUACCCACCGCUCACUUCGAUGGAUCAAAAACCAAUUUUUGCAAAUAUCACAUUUUAAUUCAAGAAAGCACUUUAAUCACGUAGGAAUAGAACAAGCAGGGACACUCACCAAGAGUGGAGUUCAGAUAUCAAGUUGGGGAUCGAAUUCCGCGUCCUCGAAAAACCCUAAAAACCAAAAUUUGAAACUAUAAGUUUCUACUUAGUUUUUAAGCUUAUAGACAUUGAGGUAUAUUUAAUAUACUACUAGUUCACUUUCCCUUAGAAAAAUCAAGAGUUCCUUAGGUUAAAACUUGACAAAAGUAGAAGAGAUAUUUCUUAUAGUUUUCCUUGAGGUAUUUUUCUAAAAAAAAUAACUAGUAUUAUUUUCUUGAAAUAAGUCGACAAACCUCUCAAGAUCAAUGUUAGAAAGUUACUUUGAACAUUUCUCCAAAGUUACGGCUUUUGCAAAAAUUAUCCUUAAAAACUAUUUUUCCUAAAAUAGGGUUUCUAGCCGAGCAAGUUUUCCAAGCUUUUCACUAAAAUUAGUAAAACUCGUAUUUUGGAACUUUUCCUAUAGUUAACUAGCCAAGAGAAAUAUUUAAUGGAAAGAAAAGGAAUAAAAAUAAGACUUAGGGUUUUCAAAAGCUAUAGAACUUAUUUACUAAAGCUAUCAAGGCUAGUUUGAGCUAAAGGAAAUUAUCGGGUUGGAAAGUUUUAUGCAAAGCACUAGAUAUGGAGUUUUAUAAUAUAAUAUUAGCUGGAAAAAUAUUUUUUGAUUACUUUGAUCACAGUUACUCGAGUUCGCAUGGUCGAUACAACUUCCACAGCUCCGAUUCCGUUUCGAAAUCAUAAUAUGGAUCAAAAUAUGGCAAAAAUCACAUAGCAAAUUACUAGGGUUUCGUCAAUCAUUAGCCCUAGAUUUCAACAAGUGCAUUUCUGAAUAAAAUAAAAUGAUCAACCAAGGCUUCAUCAAUCAUUAGCACUUGGUUUCAGCAAACCCAUCAUAAGCAAAUAAAAAUAAAAGUAAAGCCUCCAAGACAUUCCAGCAAUUAACUUUCAUCGCCCAGUAGUACUUAUAAAAUCAUUGAAAUGGCUAAGGGCUUCAUCAAUCAUUAGCCCUUGACAACAUCAUUCACUUCCAACUACAAUUCAAUCAAAAAUUUAAACCACAAGUAAGCUAAAAUCUCAAUCCAAAACCCAAUUUCAGUAUCACAAAGAAACAGGACAUUCGAAAAUCUGAAAUUUCAAUUUUUCACUUGUGAGAACUCCUUUUCUCUUUUAACACCAACAUGUUUUUAUUUAAACCAUCAUACACUUCUUAUAGAACUCCAAAACAACAUUUUCCAAGCAUUUCCAUCCAUCAAGUUUCAAGGAACAAUUUAAAGAAAAAAAAAACAAGUUAAGGUUCCAACUCACCCUUUGACUAUCACUUAAGAAUUUCCAACAUGUAUAACCCAACAUUUUCUGAUUCCAUAUUCAAUUUAUCAAAUAUUUCAUUGAUAACCAACUUACACAACUUAAAACUUACAACUCCUCUGUAUUUCUAAGCCAUUAUAUUCCAAGGAAAAAUCCAGAAAUAGUUUAAAAUCCAAAAGAAAACAAACUGAAAAUUUCUGAUCAAACCUCUCGGCUAUUCCAGAAUUUUUCCAGCACUUGGGUGUUUAUAAAUCAAAUUUUCCUCGGCUAAAACAUGGUUUUAGAUACCCAAAUUAGUCAUGCAAAAACUUAUCUAGCUAAUUAAUAUUUCCAAUUCAAAAUUUAACUCAAACAACAGCUGCAAAUCCCCAAAACUUCCAGAAAUUUUGUACAGCUAGCUUCGGACAAACAGGCAUGCAACAGAUGGCAUUUCUAUUUUAUUUUUCUGGUUUAAACUAACUAAUUAGCUGCAUGCAGAGCCUAAUUAACUUGUUAUUAACCAUCUAAUCAUGGUUAUAAGUUUAAACAACAACAUCAAUAACAACAACAACAAAAUCGAACCAAGUUAGGCUGCAAUAAUCCAGCUAAGCUCUCGGUAGUUUCUAUACUAGCACCUAUCAGAAAUUCUUUUCUUAAAAAUCUCAUCCGGAUGCCUAACCCCCACAUGCAAGUUCUUAGAUGACUUAACCUUAUUGUUAUUAGUUGGUUAAACACCAAAUUGAGCUCAGAUUAUCGCAGGAAGUCAGAAAUAAAAUUACAAAUUCAAGCCAGUUCCUCGGCAGAAAUUUUCCUAACCAAACCAGAAAUAUUUCUCUGCUUUAACACUUCAUCCGAAUGCCCAAUUCAACAUGCAUGGUCUUAAUCUUCAAGUUUUCACUCAGCUAAAGACACUUAGGUGUUCAGAUUGUCACAUAAAAACACAAUUGGAGCUGCAAUAACAGCUCAAAGUCUCGGUAGCAACAUUUUAUCAAAACAGAAAUUUUUCCUAAUGGUUUGAUUUCAGCAUCCGAUUGCCUAAUCCCUACAUGCAAGCUCUGAUAUAGCUUGUUCAACUAAUAAACAACCUAAUUAAUCCAGAAUUUACCUUAGAUAGCAGCUAAUCUCUCACACGAAAAUUUCCAGAAAUUUCUUCCUUGCUCACGGCUUCAAGUGCAGUCGGUGGUUCCUGGCUUCUAAGUUGCGGCUGGAAUUGGUUGUAGCUGGUAGAUUUGAGUUUGGUUGGUUGGAGUUGGUAGGGAUGAAGGUACACAAUGGUAAAGCUUCCUGCAAAUCUCCUCCCUGGCUUCACUCCAACUCACGGCAGAACCAGAAAUUUCUGGCAGCUCACGUUCCCUCCUUCCUAGCUCACGGAUGCAGCUCACCAAGUGGCUCUCUCUCUCGGAUGCUCUUGGUCGAAUGCAAAGGAAGAGGUGAGGCGCGUCUGUGGAGAGGAUUUGCAGCGGUUUCGAUGGAGUUGUGCAGAGAAGGAAAUGAGAUUCGAUGAAGGUGGAGUCUCGGUAUUUAGAAAGGAGAAAUGGUUUGCGGUUUGGUUUUGUGCAGAGAAGGAAAUUGAAUUGUGUCUUGUGGUUGUG